RNAcentral lists this transfer RNA (71 nucleotides) under Marmota monax (woodchuck). Its description in RNAcentral is "tRNA.Ala". It matches the Rfam family "tRNA". From Rfam's summary of the family: Transfer RNA (tRNA) molecules are approximately 80 nucleotides in length. The record is from RNAcentral. Lineage: Eukaryota; Metazoa; Chordata; Mammalia; Rodentia; Sciuridae.
GGGGUUGUAGCCCAGAGGUAGAGCGCUCGCCUAGCACGUGGGUAGCCCUGGGUUCGAUCCUCAGCACCACA